This 72-nucleotide transfer RNA is filed under the name Ovis aries (sheep). It matches the Rfam family "tRNA". From Rfam's summary of the family: Transfer RNA (tRNA) molecules are approximately 80 nucleotides in length. Their secondary structure includes four short double-helical elements and three loops (D, anti-codon, and T loops). The record is from Rfam by way of RNAcentral. Lineage: Eukaryota; Metazoa; Chordata; Mammalia; Artiodactyla; Bovidae.
GCCCUGAUAGCUUAGUUGGUAAAGAAUCUGCCUGCAAUGCAGGAGACCCUGGUUCGAUUCCUGGGCUGGGAA